UUCUGCUGCCUUUGGAGCUGUUAUGUAUUCCACUUACAGUCUGUGUUCCACAAUGACCUCACAUUGAACCACGUUCUUUUUAGCUAUUCACAAGGGACGGUAAGUUAUGCUUUAAAUCCGAUAACAUUUUGGCAUGUAUUUUGUUCUCAUUUCUUCUGUUGUAUAUCACAGACAUCAAAGAUACUGUGGAUUUUCUGAUUGUCGGUUUGAUUAAAAAAACACAAAACACCCCACCCCAAACCUGCACCGAACAACCCUGUUAAAUUUACAUGUCACAUUUCAAACAGGUCAGGUUGGCAAACAGCAGUCCUCCAUAUGAUUACCUCCCUCAUUUUAACAAGAGAUGUUUACUCGCUUGCGUAGAAUACACUUACUUCAUAACGAUGGAUUGCUGCAUAGCAUCCAGAUGUGUUUUGAGAUUAUCAGUUUACAUACCCUCCAACAUUUCUCUGAUGAAAAUAGGGAGGUCCCAUUCCAUAAUGAUAAUGUUACAAUUUAUACCCCACCCAUCUGACUGGGUUGCCCCCUUAGCCAUUCUGGGCAGCUUCCAACACAGAUGAAAACAUUAAACAUUAAGAUGGGGCACGUCACGUUCAAAGGAUUUUGGCUUUUUACUUGUGACCCCAGUUUGAGUACAAUUAUUCAGUUUGCGGGGGGAGGGCACAAAAUGUGGGGUUUGCAGCACAAAACAGCACAAAUGUAGCAUAAAACUUUUACAUCAGGUUUUUUUUGGGGGGGGGAUCUGGAAUUUUGGGAUCACACAUUAAUGAAGCUUAUUUUGGGUUCCUAUAGCCGCACCAAGAAAUCCGCAUAAGCAAACCGCAUUAAAAAUUGUGUGCUGAGAAUUUCCAGUUGCCAGACCAUACGCUUUUGCUUUCUAGAGUGGGAUUUAUUUAUUUUUAACCAAGGGGCAUAUGCAGCUAUCUCUGUACUCUGGUCUUAUCUGAGUGGGGGAAAGGUGGGUGGACAACUAAAUCAUGCCCAAAUGUGGAAGAUUCUGGUAGCACUCAUUAUAAUUACCUGUUAGUGAUAAAAAUAAUUGAUCAUAAAACCAUAUUGUGCUUCUCUGUGUUUUCUAUUGCUCCCUAAAGAGCUACAUUGUACUUGGACUAAGGCUUCAUGUCUCCUGGACCAUCUCAGUUGUCUCCAUCUGGCCCAGGAGUGCCUUCCUUCCUUGCCAUUCCCAAGCUCCAGAAGCAUAUGGAUCUAGGAGUCAGGCAAAUCUCUUGGACCUGCUGGUACAGCAGCAAAAGUAUCACCCUACAAUUGUCAAGGGUCUUCAGGCAUUUGCUCAAGCGAGCAAGAGAUCAUCAGAACUAAUUGAGACAGAGCCAGCACAAAGUAGCUGGGGAAUGUGCUUGUUGGGGGAGAGGCAGAAUUGAUGACAUAUUUUGCUAACAAGAGGAGCGGCUGCACUUUGUACUAGCUGGAAGCUUUUCAUGGCAUGUGGCUUUUUGUCAGAUAAAAUGAGUUGUAAUAAUUGAGCCAGAAGGUCAAGAAUGCAUGGAUUGUGAAUGUCUUGCUUCUGUGACUUUUCUUUAUUUUCUAACCAUUUGCUUUUUGUAUAAGCUACCAAAAUGGGGAAAAACCAACGUCAUACAUAACUGCAGAUUUGCUUCCAUUUUUAAAACAACAACAACAACCAUUUCCUAGUCAUUAAAGCCAUUUUUAUUUACUUUUAAGUUUGUUAAACAGCAGAACCUUGUUUUAUCUUGUGGCCCAGGAAAGCAUAGUAUUCUUUUCUGUCUUGAGUUCCUUGCAAAGUUCAGUUGUCAAAAGAUUUUUUUUUAAAGAAACAAUAACCCCCACACUAGGAAAAUGUGACCUGCUCUGGGCUGUGUCAUAGGUUGAAAAUUUCCCCUCCCUUUCGAGAGAGAGAACAUGUCUCCAAGGCCCUGAAGCACCAAGAGAGAUUGUAUUCCAAGAUGAAAACCAGAGUUGUUAGUGAAGCCUAUAUUUCAGCACUUGCCCCUUAUAUUCAUUUCUGGCCCAGCCCAAAAGGUUUUGCAGCCUAAAGCAAAGGACAAGAUUGCAACUCCCUCUGUUUCAUGUACAAAAGCCAACAAGACCAGGACUUUUUUUCAGCUGGAACUUGCCGGAACUCAGUUCCUGCACCUCUCAGGUGGGCGCCAUUGUAAGAGAACAAGGGAGAAAUUCAUGGUGAGUUCCGGCACCUCUUUUUCUAGAAAAAUAGCAAUGAAGAAGACUGGUACAUCCAUCUUACUUCCACAUCCUCCACUUUACUCAAGGCUAGGGUUACACCCACUCCAUCCAUUUAAAGCACAGGAGGGCUGUAGUUUGUUAGGGGUACUGGGCACUGUAGUUCUCUGAGGGUCAAACUAGUUCCCAGGAUACUUUGGGGAAAGACAUUUGCUUUAAACUAUGUGAGGUGGAUUAGGCUGAAAUACAUCGAUUGAUUCACUGGAUUCAUGACAAACCUAGACAGCAUCUUUAAAAGCAGAGACAUCACCUUGCCAACAAAGGUCUGUAUAGUAAAAGCUAUGGUUUUCCCAGUAGUGAUGUAUGGAAGUGAGAGCUGGACCAUAAAGAAGGCUGAUCGCCGAAGAAUUGAUGCUUUUGAAUUAUGGUGCUGGAGGAGACUCUUGAGAGUCCCAUGGACUGCAAGAAGAUCAAACCUAUCCAUUCUUAAGGAAAUCAGCCCUGAGUGGUCACUGGAAGGACAGAUCCUGAAGCUGAGACUCCAAUACUUUGGCCACCUCAUGAGAAGAGAAGACUCCCUGGAAAAGACCCUGAUGUUGGGAAAGAUGGAGGGCACAAGGAGAAGGGGACGACAGAGGGUGAGAUGGUUGGAUGGUGUUCUUGAAGCUACCAACAUGAGUUUGAUCAAACUGCGGGAGGCAAUGGAGGACAGAAGUGCCUGGCGUGCUCUGGUCCAUGGGGUCACGAAGAGUCAGACACGACUAAACGACUAAACAACAACACAUUGACUGAUUCACUGGAUUCAUGGCUGAUUGGGGUUUGAACCUGGCCUCCAAGGUCCUAGUCCAUCUCUCUAACCACUAAACCAUAAUAGUGGGAGAGUUCCAAAGCAAUAUAUUUAAUAGUGCAUUUUCAUAGCAUUUACUAUCCAUUUUCUGGGGUUCAGAUCACAUACCUCCACAUUUGGGUGUAUACAUGUAGAUGUAAAACUAGGGUUGUCAUAAAUCCAGAAUUUCCUGGACUUAGCCAGAAUACUGCAGUUGGAAGUGGCUGGGCAAGAUAUCGCUAAAAAUGUCUGGGGAAAUCCAGACGUAUGGCAACCCAUGUUGGCAGUGUAUUUUUUGGCGAUUUACCUUAAAAAUAGCUCAAAACACCCCUUUUUUGCCAACCCCCCCCCCUCAAGAAUGGGCAGGAAUUGGUAGGCAGACCAGUGGGCAUGACCCUAAUCACCCCCUCCUUGUGUUCAUUUGUAUCCAAACCACUAAGUGAAUAGGGCUGUUGCUGUAGGUAGGUCUUCAACAUGUGUUAUGCACAUUUCCUUGCGACGGUGUGCCUGGGGCUGACCUCUGAAGCUGGUGUCUUGGGAAACUGACCAUAACAAUUCAUUAUGAAUGUUUAAUAGAGUGUUUAAUCUUGCAGUGGAUCUGGAAUAGCUGCAAUGAGCACAUUCAGCUACAUUUAUCUGGAUAAGAUGUUUUGGAGGGAAGCUCAGGCUAGCCUUACUCUAGUUUACAUCCGCACACAUUUCUAAAAGGGAACCCAAACAACAACAACAACAACAACAACAACAACAACAACAACACACCUCUACCAAAUGCAAAAUAGAGACAGUAGUUUACCCGGGAGAGACCACCAGUAGGGACUAUUGUAAAUAGAAAGCAUUAGAGUGUGUAUGCUUACUACAUCAUUUUUUAAAACUUCCACUGAAAGAAAUUGAAAAGAAAUAGUGGGGGAGGGUGUGGACUUCAACCUGCAUGGAUGGUGCUAAUUCCAAGGCAGAAUCAACAGACUUUGAGCUUUGGCUUCUCUAGAAUUAACAGAGCUCAUAUAGAACCACCUUUUUCACCCAGGCUGCAGAAAUUCUAGGAGGAUGGAUAGCUGAACAUGAAGAAACUGGCUGUGCAGUUGUCAUUUAUUCAACAGAAAUUGCUCCCCUUAUCAGCAAUUGCCAUUCUGAAUGCCUAGAGUUUCAUAGGGUGGAAAUGGGAGCACACGUGCUGGUUAUGCACUCCUAAGCUUAAGCACCAAGCUCUUUAUUCUCCUGACAUUUGCUAAGACUAAGUUUCUGAUAGACAGGAAAGUUUUUGGGGAUUCCAAACCUUGCUUCCACUCCUUGCCCCCUUCUCUCUCCCUGGUAUUUUUGACACCCCAUGCUGACUUUAUAACAGUAAAUUUUUUACAGGCCAAUAACAACCUAAUUCCGAUGCCCCAUCCCUUUCUCAUGCCAUUGGGCCUUCUCAUCAGCUUCCAACCUCCAACUUGUGUCACACAUACAACUUGUGACCUUGUGUCACACAGCUAUAUAUUCCUGGUGUCAAGAAUUGGCAUUGACGGGAACCUGCCAAGGCCACAGUCAGUAAGCAUGCACUGCCAAUCCCUGGAUCCUUCUGACCCCGCUGCUUAUCCUCUUUUCUGUUGCACUUGUGAAGCAAACAAGAAAGUCACCUGCCCUAUCAGAGGGAACCAAUAGUAGAUGGAGGAGGAGGAGUAGUAACCUCCAUAUGUUGUGCCCUGUUUCCAUGGAAGGUGGGCCUAGUGGAUGGGGCAAAAACAUGAACAGUGGCUGUUAGUCCUACCUGCACUGUCAGGGCACAAUGUUUCUGUGUGCCAGUUAUUGGCGAACACGAGGAGGGAGAGUGCUGUUGUGAUCAGGUCCUGCUUUCAUAGGCAUCUGCUUGGUCAUUGUGAGAACAGGAUUCUGGACUAAAUAGAUGUACAGAGGACUUUAUAUGUAAUAUUGUUAUUGUGUUUGAUUUCUUAUCUGCAUUUCACCAUUGCAUUCAGUGAGCCAUACAACACUUCCCUAUUUCUUAGGUGGUUUUUUAAAAAAUACAAAUAAAUAAAUAAAUACAUAGUUGACUUUUGUAGACAGGAAUAAGAUUCUUUGUGCUAUAUUGCAUUUUACCUAAGUACAAAUGCAUACUUUGUCAAUAGUUCACAUAUAGGGCCAUUUUAUAUUCCACACUUUUGAGUACACACCUAAAAUGUUCUAAAUGCAUAUUUCUAAUGAGAAAUACGAAUAUUUCCACACAGGUAUAUGCUACAGGUAAAGACCAAAAAACUAACUGACAUCAUGUACCUGCUUAGAUAACAUCUUCUGGCAAACCUACGUUUACUACUUCAUGCACAAUUUUCGUGCAUGGAGACCGGUUCUGUAUUAAAUAAAUGCACCAUCGUAGUUGGUGAGUUCAUGCACGUCUGCAUGUAGAGCCACUUAGGGCUGCCAUACGUCCGAGUUUUCCGUUCAGGAAUCGGACUGUCAAAAUGGUGUCCGGGCAGAUUUUCACCAAAUCAGCGAAACCCAAAGAGUUUGCCCUCCCCCCAAAAGCUCAACAACAUCACCUUCCGCCCUCCUCUGAACUGAAAAGGUCGACAACUUUGUCCAGAUUUUCACUUUUGGCAAUGUGGCAACAUUUCUUUCCCACCUUUCACCCAAAAUUAUCCACAAGGCAUUUCUCCACCUCCUUUUACUCUGACAACAGCACUGUGAGGUAGGUUAGACUGAGAGAAAGUGACUAGCCCAAGGUCCUUAGGGAUAUGAAAACCAGACAAAGAACUAAGGUAACACCACCACAAAAUCCUGUUGUGGUUGUUACAGCAGUAUCCCUGGUGUGUCAGAACUGUUGCUAAGAAAUUUUUCCAGAACAUGUUGGGCUCACAAUGUUUAGCAGCACCUCUAGUUUCUUUCCUUCUCUCUUUCCUUCCUUCCCCAUUUUUUCCUGGGUGGGGAUUUGAACCCUGGUCCAAAACUCUAGUCAUUUCACCACCCACACCAUGCUACCCAUCCAUUACAUAACUGGGGACCAAUUAGCACUUCAUGCAGCAAAUUAGUUUGCUGCUUGCUCCUGCUGUGACGUCAUGGUUGCAUCCAGUUACUCAGGGCAUAUCACCAUGUGUCCUGUUUAUGUCCUGGAAGUUUGCCACCUGGUAUUGCAGGGUUUUUUGGGGGCGGGGGGGGGACAUGUAGUGUGCCAACCUAUCUGCCACAUAAAGUGUGGGACUGGACCUGAAUACACAGAUGGGGAGAGAGAGAGCUCUUAUGCAUCAGCCUAUGCAUCAUCUCUAUACCUGCUAUAUUACUCAGCUUAGAGAAACAGACAGGAGCCCUCCAUGAAUACUCGCCUCUGUGUUCUAUGCAGAAGCCUGCCUGCAUAAAUAUUUUAUUUAGUUUAAAUAGAAAAUCCUUAAAAUAACCUUUUCCCCUACUGUUCUUUUCAAAUGAUAUUUAAUCCAUAAAAAUGCUGACUGUAAAUUCACCUUCAGCUAAAGUAAACAUUUCUCUCUGGAUACUUAAAACGUGUGCGCACAGACACAGACACACACACACACAUAUGCCCUGGGUACUGCCACACUGAUAUUUCGAGACAUAUUUGGCCUUUUAAAUCUCUUUCUUAAUAUCAGCAUAGAAUUAAACUUCAAACAUUGGCUCUCUUUCCUACCUUAUAUAUUCCGUGCCAUUUAGCUAGAGAUAUUGCAAGGUUGUUGUUUCUACCUUGAUGACAAACAUUCAUUCAUUCAAAAACAAAUGAAUAAAUGUUGGGAUCAGAAGGCGGUAGUUUGAAGGAAAGAAAACGAUGACAGGAAAGGAAAUAGGAAAGGGUUAAAGAUGCUCCCCAAAGCAGUAUUUUGGCCUGACGAGUUUUGAAUUCAAGACUGUUCCUGGUGGGUGGUGGCUGGAGUGGUUGUAACUCAAAUCACUUCCAAGAAGGGUAUUGUAGAGCUGGAAAAGGUGCUAAAAAGGACAACCAAAGAAAGUGAUACUUCUCUCACAAUACUAGGACUUGGGGUCAUCCAAUGAAGCUGAAUAUUGGAAGAUUCAGGAAUGACUGAAGUACUUCUCCGUGUAGUGCAUAGUUAAAUUACUGAAUUCACAACAGUAAGAUGUAGUGAUAGUAAUCAAUUUGGGGCAACUUAAAAAAGAGACUAAACAAAUUCAUGAAAGAUAAGGCUAUCAAUGGCUGCUAGUCAUGACUGGCUCUAUCACCUCUAGUAUCAGACACACCUUGUCUCUGAAUUCCAGUGACUGGGGAACCAGAGUGGGAAAGGGUUAUUGCCCUUAUAUUCUUAGAAUCAUAGAAUUGCAGAGCUGGAAGGGACCACAAGGGUCAUAUGGUCCAACCCCCUGCAAUGCAGGAGUCUUUUUGCCCAACGUGGGGCUUGAACCCACAACCUUGAAAUUGAGAGUCACAUGCUCUGCGGACUGAGCUAUUCCAUAGACUCCCUUGUGGACUUCCAAAAGAUAUCUGGAUAGUCACUGUAAGAACAGAAUGCCGGACUAGAUAGGUCUUUAGUCUGCUCCAGCAGAGCUCUUCUGACAUUUCCAUAACCCCUUGAAAAGGUCAUAGAACAUAUUCAUUGCCCUCAGUGAAAGACAAGCUUCUUUAGGUUUCUCUUCUCCUUUGAGAGUUCUUCUGGACUUGUGUUCCUCUGCUCCAUGUUGGAUUUUAGUCUAGAAAAGAACAGCACAGGGAAAGAUUAUCUGAAGGAUUUGCUAUGCCUACGCAACAGUAACUUUCUGAUCCAAUAAAACCAAAAUAUGGAACACUCAUUAGAAUGCUAAAAUAUUGUAUUGAUUUAAGAUUAGCUUAUACAUGCUGAGCAACCUUACCAUGAAAAGCAAUCUCAAAGAAUAAAGCCUUAAGGUGCGGUUCAAAAAUGUCCAGGCAGGCUUAGACUUUUGGUGAGGUCUUGAGGGAAGGGCAUUCCAUGAUUACUAAGAACAUUUAUUUGCCUACAGACCCUUAAGGCAUGGAAUUGGUGUAUAGAUGGUAUAUUUAAGGAAGGGCAAGUGGCUGGUCAUAAAGACUGUGACAGAACAUAAAAUAGGAAGACAUUUCCAAGGGUCCAUCUACACAGUGCUAUUUUUCUGGAAAAAGAGGUGCCAGAACUCACCACAAACAUCUCCAUUGUUCUCUUACAACGGCAAUGGUGCCCACCUGAAAGGUGCCAGAACUGAGUUCCGAUGAAUUCUGGCUGAAAUAAAGCCCUGCAUCUACACAUCAUGAGGGGCGGGAGACAGUCUCCAACGCUCUAGUGGAGCAGAACUUUUCUCUCCUCUGCAGCCCACUGCAUGCCCUCAAAAUCAGCUCUGGAAGUUUGGGAGACCCUCCAGAGAAGAGGAGGAAGAGGAGGAGAGAAAAAGCAGCAGUGCACUGUUCUUUGCUGAUUUUAUUUCUUGACUAGAGAAAUAAGCCUCCAUAUACUAUUCACAAAGGUUUGUUCACAUGUCACACUGAACAAAGUGUGUGUCUUUGUUCUCUACACAUGUGUCUCUACACAUGUAUAUGCACUUGUGUGAAAGCAGAUAUGCUUGUUUAUUUGUUCAGUUCAUUUACUGUGUACACCCACUGAAUGUUACAUGUGAAGAUCAAUCACUAAAAGGUGACAGAUUUCUGAGGGUAGGAGAUUUUUUUUUCUUUAAACUAUUCUGGGCCAAGAUUAUUUUAAAAUACGCCUUCAAAAAGUCUACCUGCUAGUUUGUUUUCUUCACAUUCUGGAUUAUCUCUGUGAUAACUUGAAGUUUUGCUUUAAUUAUAGGAAGCUGUGUUGAAUUCAAAAGGCUGUCAUCUUCUGAGUCUUUCCAGAAGGUUGGAGUUUCUAGUUCAGAGGAGGGGGGUGGAAACUCUUCUUUCCUUCCCCCCACCCGGUAAUAAUAUGGUCCAGUGAUUAUUUAAAGCAUUUUCUAAUUUAACUCCAUGCAGCAAGAAUAAAGUUAAAGGAGAGACUAGUAAUUACCUACAGCUGAGUAUGAGCUAUUGGACAGUCAUUUUGGCCAAUGGUCAUUUUGUAUCUCAGGCUACUAUGGCUGAAAUACUGGUAGUUUUGAUGUGGGAAAGCUUCAGUUAAAAAACAGCAACAAAGAACUAAGGAAUAAGACACAAUAGUUUGAAAGAAAAUAUUGGGUGUUGUUUCAAGAAUCUGUCACCUUUAUCAUGCAUGGCAUGUCCUAUGUCCUUCUGACUGAACUGUGUUCCACAAUAGUUUCUCAUUUUUUGUUUUCAGAUGGAAAUAAGAAAGAAAAACCAGGAAGUAAAUACUUAAAAAGAAACUAUGAGAAAGAUAAGAGAGUACUUCAGAGCCACAGCAAAGUAUGUAUACUUAAAGCUGCCUUUCUGAAAUGUACUAAUUGUAUGCACAUUUCACAUUGUUGCAGACAACUCAUUACUGAGAAAAGUUGGAAAUUAUUCUUCCUGGGACCUUUUAAUUGAUGGUGUUUUACCUAAGAGGACAUUGGUGAAGAGUCCUCUUCUAUCUUCCCACCCCAACACUGAACCACAAAUUUUUAAAAGACAAGUAUGGAGCAAUCUGACCAAAUGUCCUGGGACAGAAAUAACUGCUUUCGGUGAAGUGCUGCAAAAGCUUAAUUAGACUGGUAAUUGGGCUCCACAGCAUUGACUUUUUGCUCCAUGUCUCUGGGAAAGCAGACACAGGCAGGCUGGUGUAACAGCUACUAGCAGAAGAGAGAAAGGGACUGAUGGAAAAGACAUGAUUAAUCUGCUCUGAGGAACAUGAAUGGGACUCCUUGUCAAGACAAUCAGUUUGCAAACCUUUAGAAAAUAUUGCCUAAUUAAAAAAAGAAAAAAAUGGAAG
Molecule: long non-coding RNA, 9750 nt
Filed under: Podarcis lilfordi (Lilford's wall lizard)
Lineage: Eukaryota; Metazoa; Chordata; Lepidosauria; Squamata; Lacertidae
Source: RNAcentral